GAUGAACGCUGGCGGCGUGCCUAAUACAUGCAAGUCGAGCGAACAGACGAGGAGCUUGCUCCUCUGACGUUAGCGGCGGACGGGUGAGUAACACGUGGAUAACCUACCUAUAAGACUGGGAUAACUUCGGGAAACCGGAGCUAAUACCGGAUAAUAUAUUGAACCGCAUGGUUCAAUAGUGAAAGACGGUUUUGCUGUCACUUAUAGAUGGAUCCGCGCCGCAUUAGCUAGUUGGUAAGGUAAAGGCUUACCAAGGCAACGAUGCGUAGCCGACCUGAGAGGGUGAUAGGCCACACUGGAACUGAGACACGGUCCAGACUCCUACGGGAGGCAGCAGUAGGGAAUCUUCCGCAAUGGGCGAAAGCCUGACGGAGCAACGCCGCGUGAGUGAUGAAGGUCUUCGGAUCGUAAAACUCUGUUAUUAGGGAAGAACAAAUGUGUAAGUAACUAUGCACGUCUUGACGGUACCUAAUCAGAAAGCCACGGCUAACUACGUG
RNAcentral lists this ribosomal RNA (497 nucleotides) under uncultured bacterium. Its description in RNAcentral is "partial 16S ribosomal RNA". It matches the Rfam family "Bacterial small subunit ribosomal RNA", at positions 28 to 507 of the family's 1533-position model. The record is from RNAcentral.